RNAcentral lists this ribosomal RNA (232 nucleotides) under uncultured bacterium. RNAcentral describes it as "partial 16S ribosomal RNA". It matches the Rfam family "Bacterial small subunit ribosomal RNA", at positions 15 to 236 of the family's 1533-position model. The record is from RNAcentral.
GAUCAUGGCUCAGGAUGAACGCUAGCUACAGGCUUAACACAUGCAAGUCGAGGGGAAACGAUAUUGGAAGCUUGCUUCCGAUAGGCGUCGACCGGCGCACGGGUGAGUAACGCGUAUCCAACCUGCCCAUCACUUGGGAAUAACCUUGCGAAGGUAAGACUAAUGCCCAAUGAUAUCCCACGAAGGCAUCCGAAUGGGAUUAAAGAUUUAUCGGUGAUGGAUGGGGAUGCGU